ACCCUUGAACCCUAUGUGUUUGUUUAUUCGCUAGACGGAAAUAUUCCUAUUACGAGAAUGCCGGUCGUAAUCGACAGCAGGAUUAGGGAGGGAGGGAUGGACCCAAACUCUGCUCAGAGGAAGUAAUACACACCAAGGGAGGUGGAUUCAUUCAAAUGGAACAAUGGACAGAAAAGCAUCAUCAGAUUGCCCAUUAAGCUUGCUGCUGCUGUGAGAGAUUUUCGGAUUGUGAAUAGAUUAAAAGACAGGGAAGUUGGAGAUAGCGAACUGCUGCUUAUGUGAUAUAGUGAUGAGGAUAUUCUCAACCAUUUGCUCUGCAGAUAUAGUGCAUAGUUUUAUAAAGAACUUGAAACAUAUGUCGACUGUUUGCCUGCUCCGUUAAGUACUGUAACAUUCAGAGUAUUCUCCAGAUACGUCGGCUAUUGGGAGGUGUUACUUACAUGUGUGCCCGCAAUAACUAUUAAUCUCGGUGUGCAGAGUUUGUAGAACUCUGUUGUAUCAAUCCAUUGUUCUUCUAAAAAUUCUUUUUGUGUUUUAAGAAUUUAACUAUGCCAGACUGAGACGCAAAUGUUGUUCAGUCGGUCAAUAUGUUGAC
Molecule: non-coding RNA, 595 nt
Organism: Punica granatum (pomegranate)
Lineage: Eukaryota; Viridiplantae; Streptophyta; Magnoliopsida; Myrtales; Lythraceae
Source: RefSeq, a predicted model, not a curated record